Molecule: ribosomal RNA, 514 nt
Filed under: uncultured Glomus
Lineage: Eukaryota; Fungi; Glomeromycota; Glomeromycetes; Glomerales; Glomeraceae
Description: SSU rRNA
Rfam family: Eukaryotic small subunit ribosomal RNA
Source: RNAcentral
CGCAGCCGCGGUAAUUCCAGCUCCAAUAGCGUAUAUUAAAGUUGUUGCAGUUAAAAAGCUCGUAGUUGAAUUUCGGGAUCAGUACGCUGGUCGUGCCUUCGGUAUGCACUGGUUUCACUGAUUCCUCCCUUCUGAAGAACCGUAAUGCCAUUCAGUUGGUGUGGCGGGGAAUCAGGAUUGUUACUUUGAAAAAAUUAGAGUGUUUAAAGCAGGCUCGCGCUUGAAUACAUUAGCAUGGAAUAAUGAAAUAGGACGUUUGAUCCUAUUUUGUUGGUUUCUAGGAUUGACGUAAUGAUUAAUAGGGAUAGUUGGGGGCAUUAGUAUUCAAUUGUCAGAGGUGAAAUUCUUGGAUUUAUUGAAGACUAACUACUGCGAAAGCAUUUGCCAAGGAUGUUUUCAUUAAUCAAGAACGAAAGUUAGGGGAUCGAAGACGAUCAGAUACCGUCGUAGUCUUAACCAUAAACUAUGCCGACUAGGGAUCGGAUGAUGUUAAUUUUUUAAUGACUCAUUCGGC